CGGCAAGGUGGCAGGAAGGAGUCCACACUGUUAUCUUAUGGUGAAGCAGUAUGACAAGCAGCGUGAUGUUGGUGUUGUAUGAUCACUCUCUCUGAACGUCAGGAGGAAUUCCAGCACCUUAUCGAUCCUGACUCCACAGCUCACUCAGGGGAGAGUCUGUUUUCUUAACCCACUGUACAGUAUGCCACGUUUAUCAAUAGCAAUUCUCGCCAGG
Ictalurus punctatus (channel catfish) is the source of this 214-nucleotide long non-coding RNA. RefSeq lists it as uncharacterized. NCBI's taxonomy places the organism in Eukaryota, Metazoa, Chordata, Actinopteri, Siluriformes, Ictaluridae. The transcript has 2 exons. The record is from RefSeq and is a predicted model, not a curated record.